UUUUAUUCUUUACAGAUUCCCCCUUGGGAAAAAAAAUCUGAUUAAAAACUCCAGCUAGGAGAUUAGAAAGCUUUGGUUGGUGAACUGGCACCAGGAAGUGCCUUCAUUUUUGAGACCUGGUAGAGUUCGAUGAAAACGUUUUUUAACAGACACAGACUGUCCAGUCCUGACCAGGACACUGAAGACUCUGUUUGAAUCGGGUUUACAGGUUUCUUCCCAGCUACUCUCAGAGACAGGAAUGCUUCUGGAUUGGGAAGCAAAGGAGAGAAAGCACAAAGGAGAAGGGAACACAGCACUGUCACAUGAGGAAUACCUGUUUAAAAAAAGGAAAGGAAACCCAGGCAACAUGAUAAAUUCAUUGUCUUCAAGAAAAAGUUCUGUACUCAAGAACCAACUGGUAAUGGCUUCAAGAAGUGGAAUUUCAGCUCACCUGAAGCUUUUUUUUAUUAUUUUUCAUUUUUUUUUGGCAGCGGGGGCAAGGGGAUGAUAACUAGGAAUUGAACCCAGGGUCUCAUGCAUGCUAAGCAAGCACCCUACCACUGAACUAUAUCCCCAGCCCUCAUCUGAAGCAUUUUCUAAUGAGCUACACAGAGAUUAAAUGGGUUGCCUCUGA
Non-coding RNA from Ictidomys tridecemlineatus (thirteen-lined ground squirrel), 613 nucleotides. The record is from RefSeq and is a predicted model, not a curated record. Lineage: Eukaryota; Metazoa; Chordata; Mammalia; Rodentia; Sciuridae.